UCCCUCAGUAGCGGCGAGCGUAGCGGGAUGAGACCGAGAUGAAAAUCCCUUCGGGGAGUUGUAAUCUGAUUUAUGUUGAGUGUUCAGUGAAUGUAAGUCACAUGGAAUUGUGUACCGUGGAGGGUGAGAGUCCCGUCCAGCAUUCACAGGAAUUUCUCGUACGACGUAAAUUCAACCGAGUCGGGUAGCUUGAGAUCGCUGCUCUAAUAGGUGGUAAACUUCAUCUAAGUCUAAAUACUGGUGGGAGACCGAUAGCGAACAAGUACCGUGAGGGAAAGAUGGAAAGCACUUUGAAAAGAGGGUGAAAAGUACCUGAAACCGCCACGGGGGAAGCGUAUUGUAUCAGUGUGGUGCGGCGUCUGUUCAGCAAACUUCGGUUUGUGUAUUCAGUGCUAGCUAUGUCGGAAUGGUUGUUGGACUAUGGAUGUUGCAUAGACCGAUGAUGAGGGGUCCCUUCGGGUGAGGAUUUCGACAAAAUGAUACGAUUCGACCCGUCUUGAAACACGGACCAAGGAGUUUAGCAUUAAUGCGAGUCGAAGAGUGAUAAACUCAGAGGCGUAGUGAAAGCGAACAUUUGGAAACCUUAACAGGUUGAGGAGGUGUUGCGUCGUUGACAAAACAUCCUACCUAGAGCAUUAAUGCUGAGACCCGAAAGAUGGUGAACUAUGCCGGAGUAGGGCAAAGCCAGAGGAAACUCUGGUGGAGGCUCGUAGCGAUGCUGACGUGCAAAUCGCUCGUCGAACUUGGGUAUAGGGGCGAAAGACUAAUCGAACCAUCUAGUAGCUGGUUCCCUCCGAAGUUUCUCUCAGGAUAGCGGGCCGACAGUGGGUUGUUUUGUGUGGUAAAGCGAAUGAUUAGCGUAUUUGGGGACGUAAUGUCUUCGGUCGAUUCUCAAACUUUAAAUACGCAAGAUAGAGAUGGUUGCUUAAUUGAACCUCUCUACUGAAAACGUCGGCCCUGUGGGCCACUUUUGGUAAGCAGAACGGCGAUAUGGGAUGAACCAUAAGUUUGGUUAAGGCGUCAAAAUAUCCGCUUAUAGACCCCACAAAAGGUGUUGGUUCAUCUAGACAGCAGGACGGUNNNNNNNNNAGUCGGAAUCCGCUAAGGAGUGUGUAACAACUCACCUGCCGAAUGAACUAGCCCUGAAAAUGGAUGACGCUUAAGCGGAUUGCCGACACCAAACCGUUUUGAUAAGAAGCGAUCAAAAUGAGUAGGAGGGCGUGGCGGUUUUGUUGAGAAGGAUGAGACGCAAGUCUAUCUAGAACGGCCGCUAGUGCAGAUCUUGGUGGUAGUAGCAAAUAUUCAAGCGAGAUCCUUGAAGGGCGAAGCGGGGAAGGGUUCCACGCGAACAUUGAUUGGGCGUGGGUGAGUCGUUCCUAAGCCGGGUGGUAAUCGUUCUUCGAUCGGCGAAAGGGAAGCGGGUUAAAAUUCUCGCACACGGAUGUGGAAGCGGUGACGCAAAUUGAGGUGGAGACGUUAGCGGUGGCACUGGGCAGAGUUGUCUUUUCUGUUUAACCUGUGGUUGUACUCUGUGGAAUCCGAUUAUCGGGAGAAACAGGUACUUAUGGGAAGAGCGUCGGGGCGUCCCCGGCGUCCAGUACGCCACCGAUAGCCCCUGAAAAUCCAUCUGCAAUGAAAUUUCACGCCGUGGCGUACCGAUAACCGCAUCAGGUCCCCAAGGUGAACAGCCUCUGCUCAAUAUGAACAAUGCAGGUAAGGGAAGUCGGCAAAAUAGACCCGUAACUUUGGGAAAAGGGUUGGCUCUAGUGGGGUGGAGGAUUUUACUGGAUCAUUGGGAUUUGGUGUUGUCGGUCGGGCGGAGUUAACUGUGGCAACACGGUUUCGGCUCUUCCUGAUCGCUUCGCUGAGUUCGGAUGGUCCGACCUCCAACAUGCUCCAAACUAGAACUGCAACGGGCAAAGGGAAUCCGACUGUUUAAUUAAAACAAAGCAUUGCGAUGGCCGAGGUCGGUGUAGACGCAAUGUGAUUUCUGCUCAGUGCUCUGAAUGUCAAAGUGAAGAGAUUCAAACAAGCGCGGGUAAACAGCGGGAGUAACUAUGACUCUCUUAAGGUAGCCAAAUGCCUCGUCAUCUAAUUAGUGACGCGCAUGAAUGGAUUAACGAGAUUCCUACUGUCCCUAUCUGCUUCUAGCGAAACCACAGCCGAGGGAACGGGCUCGGCGAAAUCGGCGGGGAAAGAAGACCCUGUUGAGCUUGACUCUAUUCUAAUUUUGUGACGCAAGUUAGGAGGUGUAGCAUAGGUGGGAGUCGCAAGACGUCAAUGAAAUACCACUACUCUUAAUCUUGUUUUACUUACGGCAUUAGACUGCACGAUCUUUACGGUCUAUUUUAGCAUCAACUUGGAUUAUAGCAUAUGCUCGUGAGAGUAAUGUUACCUUGGAGCAGCGUGCCUGACAUAUUUAGGAGGGGAGUUUGGCUGGGGCGGCACAUCUUCUACAAGACAACGAAGGUGUCCAAAGAUAAGCUCAGUGAGAACAGAAAUCUCACGUAGCGCAAAAGGGUAAAAGCUUGUUUGAUUUCGAUUUUCAGUGUGAGUUGAAAACGCGAAAGCGUGGCCUAUCGAUCCUUUCACAAUUCGAGGUUUGAAGCGAGAGGUGUCAGAAAAGUUACCACAGGGAUAACUGGCUUGUGGCGGCCAAGCGUUCAUAGCGACGUCGC
Molecule: ribosomal RNA, 2678 nt
Filed under: Dawsoniolithon sp.
Lineage: Eukaryota; Rhodophyta; Florideophyceae; Corallinales; Porolithaceae
Description: LSU rRNA
Rfam family: Eukaryotic large subunit ribosomal RNA
Source: RNAcentral